GGGUUGUGAGGUUAAGCGACUAAGCGUACACGGUGGAUGCCCUGGCAGUCAGAGGCGAUGAAGGACGUGCUAAUCUGCGAUAAGCGCCGGUAAGGUGAUAUGAACCGUUAUAACCGGCGAUUUCCGAAUGGGGAAACCCAGUGUGAUUCGUCACACUAUCAUUAACUGAAUCCAUAGGUUAAUGAGGCGAACCGGGGGAACUGAAACAUCUAAGUACCCCGAGGAAAAGAAAUCAACCGAGAUUCCCCCAGUAGCGGCGAGCGAACGGGGAGGAGCCCAGAGCCUGAAUCAGCAUGUGUGUUAGUGGAAGCGUCUGGAAAGGUGCGCGAUACAGGGUGACAGCCCCGUACACAAAAGCGCAUGUGCUGUGAGCUCGAUGAGUAGGGCGGGACACGUGGUAUCCUGUCUGAAUAUGGGGGGACCAUCCUCCAAGGCUAAAUACUCCUGACUGACCGAUAGUGAACCAGUACCGUGAGGGAAAGGCGAAAAGAACCCCGGCGAGGGGAGUGAAAAAGAACCUGAAACCGUGUACGUACAAGCAGUGGGAGCACCCUUCGGGGUGUGACUGCGUACCUUUUGUAUAAUGGGUCAGCGACUUAUAUUCUGUAGCAAGGUUAACCGUAUAGGGGAGCCGGAGGGAAACCGAGUCUUAAC
Molecule: ribosomal RNA, 654 nt
Filed under: Salmonella enterica
Lineage: Bacteria; Pseudomonadati; Pseudomonadota; Gammaproteobacteria; Enterobacterales; Enterobacteriaceae
Also listed under: 4 other names
Description: partial 23S ribosomal RNA
Rfam family: Bacterial large subunit ribosomal RNA
Source: RNAcentral